This 639-nucleotide ribosomal RNA is filed under the name uncultured bacterium. Its description in RNAcentral is "bacterial SSU rRNA". It matches the Rfam family "Bacterial small subunit ribosomal RNA", at positions 897 to 1533 of the family's 1533-position model. The record is from RNAcentral.
AAACUCNAAGGAAUUGACGGGACCCGCACNAACCGNUGGAUGAUGUGGNAUAAUUCNNAUGCAACGCGAAAACCUUACCUACCCUUGACAUGGUUCGGAAUCCUGCAGAGAUGCGGGAGUGCUCGAAAGAGAACCGGCAACACAGGUGCUGCAUGGCUUGUCGUCAGCUCGUGUCGUGAGAUGUUGGGUUAAGUCCCGCAAACGAGCGCAACCCCUUGUCAUUAGUUGCUACGAAAAGGGGCACUCUAAAUGAGACUUGCCGGUGACAAAACCGGAGGAAGGUGGGGGAUGACGUCAAGUUCCUACAUGCCCCUUAUGGUUAGGGCUUUCAACAACUUAAUACAAUGGUCGGGUACAGAGGGGCUGCCAACCCGCAAGGGGGGAGCCAAUCCCUUAAAACCCGAUCGUAGUCCGGAUUGAGGUCUGCAACUCGACCUCAUGAAGUCGGAAAUCGCUAGUAAUCGCGGAUCAGCAUGUCGCGGUGAAUACGUUCCCGGGUCUUGUACACACCGCCCGUCACACCAUGGGAGCGGGUUUUACCAGAAGUAGCUAGCCUAACCGCAAGGAGGGCGGUUACCACGGUAGGAUUCGUGACUGGGGUGAAGUCGUAACAAGGUAACCGUAAAGACUGGAGAUCUG